RNAcentral lists this ribosomal RNA (253 nucleotides) under uncultured bacterium. Its description in RNAcentral is "partial 16S ribosomal RNA". It matches the Rfam family "Bacterial small subunit ribosomal RNA", at positions 524 to 776 of the family's 1533-position model. The record is from RNAcentral.
UACGGAGGGGGCUAGCGUUGUUCGGAAUUACUGGGCGUAAAGCGCACGUAGGCGGCUUUACAAGUCAGGGGUGAAAGCCCGCGGCUCAACCGCGGAAUUGCCCUUGAGACUGUAUCGCUUGAACACGGGAGAGGUGAGUGGAAUUCCGAGUGUAGAGGUGAAAUUCGUAGAUAUUCGGAAGAACACCAGUGGCGAAGGCGGCUCGCUGGACCGUAGUUGACGCUGAGGUGUGAAAGCGUGGGGAGCAAACAGG